This 1639-nucleotide ribosomal RNA is filed under the name Salmonella enterica. Its description in RNAcentral is "partial 23S ribosomal RNA". It matches the Rfam family "Bacterial large subunit ribosomal RNA", at positions 1181 to 2802 of the family's 2925-position model. The record is from RNAcentral. Lineage: Bacteria; Pseudomonadati; Pseudomonadota; Gammaproteobacteria; Enterobacterales; Enterobacteriaceae.
CUAAACCAUGCACCGAAGCUGCGGCAGCGACGCUUAUGCGUUGUUGGGUAGGGGAGCGUUCUGUAAGCCUGCGAAGGUGGCCUGUGAGGGUUGCUGGAGGUAUCAGAAGUGCGAAUGCUGACAUAAGUAACGAUAAAGCGGGUGAAAAGCCCGCUCGCCGGAAGACCAAGGGUUCCUGUCCAACGUUAAUCGGGGCAGGGUGAGUCGACCCCUAAGGCGAGGCCGAAAGGCGUAGUCGAUGGGAAACGGGUUAAUAUUCCCGUACUUGGUGUUACUGCGAAGGGGGGACGGAGAAGGCUAUGUUGGCCGGGCGACGGUUGUCCCGGUUUAAGCGUGUAGGUGUGUGUUCCAGGUAAAUCCGGUUCACUUUAACACUGAGGCGUGACGACGAGGCACUACGGUGCUGAAGCAACAAAUGCCCUGCUUCCAGGAAAAGCCUCUAAGCAUCAGGUAACAUCAAAUCGUACCCCAAACCGACACAGGUGGUCAGGUAGAGAAUACCAAGGCGCUUGAGAGAACUCGGGUGAAGGAACUAGGCAAAAUGGUGCCGUAACUUCGGGAGAAGGCACGCUGACACGUAGGUGAAGUGAUUUACUCACGGAGCUGAAGUCAGUCGAAGAUACCAGCUGGCUGCAACUGUUUAUUAAAAACACAGCACUGUGCAAACACGAAAGUGGACGUAUACGGUGUGACGCCUGCCCGGUGCCGGAAGGUUAAUUGAUGGGGUCAGCGCAAGCGAAGCUCCUGAUCGAAGCCCCGGUAAACGGCGGCCGUAACUAUAACGGUCCUAAGGUAGCGAAAUUCCUUGUCGGGUAAGUUCCGACCUGCACGAAUGGCGUAAUGAUGGCCAGGCUGUCUCCACCCGAGACUCAGUGAAAUUGAACUCGCUGUGAAGAUGCAGUGUACCCGCGGCAAGACGGAAAGACCCCGUGAACCUUUACUAUAGCUUGACACUGAACAUUGAGCCUUGAUGUGUAGGAUAGGUGGGAGGCUUUGAAGUGUGGACGCCAGUCUGCAUGGAGCCGACCUUGAAAUACCACCCUUUAAUGUUUGAUGUUCUAACGUGGAUCCGUAAUCCGGGUUGCGGACAGUGUCUGGUGGGUAGUUUGACUGGGGCGGUCUCCUCCUAAAGAGUAACGGAGGAGCACGAAGGUUGGCUAAUCCUGGUCGGACAUCAGGAGGUUAGUGCAAUGGCAUAAGCCAGCUUGACUGCGAGCGUGACGGCGCGAGCAGGUGCGAAAGCAGGUCAUAGUGAUCCGGUGGUUCUGAAUGGAAGGGCCAUCGCUCAACGGAUAAAAGGUACUCCGGGGAUAACAGGCUGAUACCGCCCAAGAGUUCAUAUCGACGGCGGUGUUUGGCACCUCGAUGUCGGCUCAUCACAUCCUGGGGCUGAAGUAGGUCCCAAGGGUAUGGCUGUUCGCCAUUUAAAGUGGUACGCGAGCUGGGUUUAGAACGUCGUGAGACAGUUCGGUCCCUAUCUGCCGUGGGCGCUGGAGAACUGAGGGGGGCUGCUCCUAGUACGAGAGGACCGGAGUGGACGCAUCACUGGUGUUCGGGUUGUCAUGCCAAUGGCACUGCCCGGUAGCUAAAUGCGGAAGAGAUAAGUGCUGAAAGCAUCUAAGCACGAAACUUGCCCCGA